GGGGGGAGCACAGGAUCCUGGGCUGUGUCCCCCAGCGCCCUGGGCUCUGGGGCCUGCACCGCUGGGAUCGCGCUCCGGGGCGCCCGGCCUCCU
This 93-nucleotide microRNA precursor is filed under the name Canis lupus familiaris (dog). RNAcentral describes it as "mir-8799 microRNA precursor family". It matches the Rfam family "mir-8799 microRNA precursor family". The record is from Rfam by way of RNAcentral. Lineage: Eukaryota; Metazoa; Chordata; Mammalia; Carnivora; Canidae.